Oncorhynchus keta (chum salmon) is the source of this 3064-nucleotide long non-coding RNA. RefSeq lists it as uncharacterized. NCBI's taxonomy places the organism in Eukaryota, Metazoa, Chordata, Actinopteri, Salmoniformes, Salmonidae. The transcript has 5 exons. The record is from RefSeq and is a predicted model, not a curated record.
AUGAUAAUGGCAGAUUUUAUUUAAUGUAAUCUGAUCAAUAAUCUGAUCUGUUUUUGGCGUCAAUAAUCAGUUAUACAAACAGUCUAAUAUCUAACAUAAACUGUUGCUCAGCAUGGGGUUACAGGGUCCUGAGUGGUUUAAAAACAACAGAGAACUAAGAAUCAUGGGUAAAAAAAGGCUACAGGUUUUAUACUACUGGGUUACAGCUACUAUAACUACAGGUUUUAUACUACUAGGUUACAGCUACUAUAACUACAGGUUUUAUACUACUAGGUUACAGCUACUAUAACUACAGGUUUUAUACUACUGGGUUACAGCUACUAUAACUACAGGUUUUAUACUACUAGGUUACAGCUACUAUAACUACAGGUUUUAUACUACUAGGUUACAGCUACUAUAACUACAGGUUUUAUACUACUAGGUUACAGCUACUAUAACUACAGGUUUUAUACUACUAGGUUACAGCUACUAUAACUACAGGUUUUAUACUACUAGGUUACAGCUACUAUAACUACAGGUUUUAUACUACUAGGUUACAGCUACUAUAACUACAGGUUUUAUACUACUAGGUUACAGCUACUAUAACUACAGGUUUUAUACUACUAGGUUACAGCUACUAUAACUACAGGUUUUAUACUACUAGGUUACAGCUACUAUAACUACAGGUUUUAUACUACUAGGUUACAGCUACUAUAACUACAGGUUUUAUACUACUAGGUUACAGCUACUAUAACUACAGGUUUUAUACUACUAGGUUACAGCUACUAUAACUACAGGUUUUAUACUACUAGGUUACAGCUACUAUAACUACAGGUUUUAUACUACUAGGUUACAGCUACUAUAACUACAGGUUUUAUACUACUAGGUUACAGCUACUAUAACUACAGGUUUUAUACUACUAGGUUACAGCUACUAUAACUACAGGUUUUAUACUACUAGGUUACAGCUACUAUAACUACAGGUUUUAUACUACUGGGUUACAGCUACUAUAACUACAGGUUUUAUACUACUAGGUUACAGCUACUAUAACUACAGGUUUUAUACUACUAGGUUACAGCUACUAUAACUACAGGUUUUAUACUACUAGGUUACAGCUACUAUAACUACAGGUUUUAUACUACUAGGUUACAGCUACUAUAACUACAGGUUUUAUACUACUGGGUUACAGCUACUAUAACUACAGGUUUUAUACUACUGGGUUACAGCUACUAUAACUACAGGUUUUAUACUACUAGGUUACAGCUACUAUAACUACAGGUUUUAUACUACUAGGUUACAGCUACUAUAACUACAGGUUUUAUACUACUAGGUUACAGCUACUAUAACUACAGGUUUUAUACUACUAGGUUACAGCUACUAUAACUACAGGUUUUAUACUACUAGGUUACAGCUACUAUAACUACAGGUUUUAUACUACUAGGUUACAGCUACUAUAACUACAGGUUUUAUACUACUAGGUUACAGCUACUAUAACUACAGGUUUUAUACUACUAGGUUACAGCUACUAUAACUACAGGUUUUAUACUACUAGGUUACAGCUACUAUAACUACAGGUUUUAUACUACUAGGUUACAGCUACUAUAACUACAGGUUUUAUACUACUGGGUUACAGCUACUAUAACUACAGGUUUUAUACUACUGGGUUACAGCUACUAUAACUACAGGUUUUAUACUACUGGGUUACAGCUACUAUAACUACAGGUUUUAUACUACUAGGUUACAGCUACUAUAACUACAGGUUUUAUACUACUAGGUUACAGCUACUAUAACUACAGGUUUUAUACUACUAGGUUACAGCUACUAUAACUACAGGUUUUAUACUACUAGGUUACAGCUACUAUAACUACAGGUUUUAUACUACUGGGUUACAGCUACUAUAACUACAGGUUUUAUACUACUGGGUUACAGCUACUAUAACUACAGGUUUUAUACUACUAGGUUACAGCUACUAUAACUACAGGUUUUAUACUACUAGGUUACAGCUACUAUAACUACAGGUUUUAUACUACUAGGUUACAGCUACUAUAACUACAGGUUUUAUACUACUGGGUUACAGCUACUAUAACUACAGGUUUUAUACUACUGGGUUACAGCUACUAUAACUACAGGUUUUAUACUACUGGGUUACAGCUACUAUAACUACAGGUUUUAUACUACUGGGUUACAGCUACUAUAACUACAGGUUUUAUACUACUAGGUUACAGCUACUAUAACUACAGGUUUUAUACUACUAGGUUACAGCUACUAUAACUACAGGUUUUAUACUACUAGGUUACAGCUACUAUAACUACAGGUUUUAUACUACUGGGUUACAGCUACUAUAACUACAGGUUUUAUACUACUAGGUUACAGCUACUAUAACUACAGGUUUUAUACUACUAGGUUACAGCUACUAUAACUACAGGUUUUAUACUACUGGGUUACAGCUACUAUAACUACAGGUUUUAUACUACUGGGUUACAGCUACUAUAACUACAGGUUUUAUACUACUGGGUUACAGCUACUAUAACUACAGGUUUUAUACUACUGGGUUACAGCUACUAUAACUACAGGUUUUAUACUACUAGGUUACAGCUACUAUAACUACAGGUUUUAUACUACUAGGUUACAGCUACUAUAACUACAGGUUUUAUACUACUGGGUUACAGCUACUAUAACUACAGGUUUUAUACUACUGGGUUACAGCUACUAUAACUACAGGUUUUAUACUACUAGGUUACAGCUACUAUAACUACAGGUUUUAUACUACUAGGUUACAGCUACUAUAACUACAGGUUUUAUACUACUAGGUUACAGCUACUAUAACUACAGGUUUUAUACUACUGGGUUACAGCUACUAUAACUACAGGUUUUAUACUACUGGGUUACAGCUACUAUAACUACAGGUUUUAUACUACUAGGUUACAGCUACUAUAACUACAGGUUUUAUACUACUAGGUUACAGCUACUAUAACUACAGGUUUUAUACUACUAGGUUACAGCUACUAUAACUACAGGUUUUAUACUACUAGGUUACAGCUACUAUAACUACAGGUUUUAUACUACUAGGUAACAGCUACUAUAA